RNAcentral lists this unclassified non-coding RNA (263 nucleotides) under plant metagenome. Its description in RNAcentral is "partial contains small subunit ribosomal RNA, internal transcribed spacer 1, and 5.8S ribosomal RNA". The record is from RNAcentral.
UUUCCGUAGGUGAACCUGCGGAAGGAUCAUUAUUGUAUAACCGAGGUGCGAGGGCUGUCGCUGACCCGAAAGGUCGUGCACGCCCGAGUGCCCUCACACACAUUCAUCUCACCCCUGUGUGCACCACCGCGUGGGUCCCCCUUUGGCUUGUUCGGAGGGGGGCUUACGUUUUCACACAAACUUUGUAUGCAGUGUAGAAUGUAUUUUUUGUUUUUGCGAUCACGCAAUCAAUACAACUUUCAACAACGGAUCUCUUGGCUCUC